Non-coding RNA from Meleagris gallopavo (turkey), 6506 nucleotides. Lineage: Eukaryota; Metazoa; Chordata; Aves; Galliformes; Phasianidae. The record is from RefSeq and is a predicted model, not a curated record.
UGUAGAUUCCCACGUUCCCUUCUUUCAUCCAAUACCUUUUGUUAUACAGAAAAUGUGCAAAGUAAAAAAUUGUCUUGUUUUACUUUGUGUAGGGUUUAUUUUUGAUUCAGUAGUGCCCCAAAAUUAGAAGAGCUGAAUGUGCUCUAUCAAGCAGAUCUCCAACAUCGUUGCCAAAACUGCCUUUAGAGUUUGGGCCUUUAUAACUUUCCAGCAUUUCUUCCUCAACGGGAGGAGGAAAUUUGCAGCACAUGAUGCAGAUCCAGUAUAUUUCCCUCAGGGAAAGGUGCUGGGGUGGUGAGAGCUUGUGUGGGGAUGGCGGAGGGCUGUCCGCCAUCACGGGGCUGAGGCCUGUCCUGACCGCCAUUUUAGGCUGCAGAUGGGGGGGGUCAGGCCACCGUCUCGCUGCUUGGCCCACUGCUAUCAGGAAGCAUGGCAAGAGGAGAACUUUGCUGCUAACAAAGAGCAGUAAACAGAAGUGAGGGCUCCAGCCAUGCUUCCCCCCUCCCUGCCCGAUGUGGUGGGUAGGAAUGGUGACACACCUUUUUUUUGUCCCCGUUAUAACGGAAAUAGGCUAACAGAGGCCUGAUGGAGUGAUACUGGUUGGAGGAGACUUGCAGCUGAAGCUGUCCCCUAGGAGGCUCUCAUCCAAGCCUCCAUCUUCUCUUCAGCCUCAUAGCCCAUGCAGCUCACCCAGGGAGAAGACAAUAACCUAGCCAUGCUUUGGAGAGGGAAGAAAGAAAACCAAACUGUUUUUAUCCUACCAUCAGCUCAUUUUACCUUUCCUGCCAUGCUCCCCCAGGCCUGAGCCUUCACAGAGGCAGGGGCUGUGCUACUAGAGCAGUGGGAUGGCAGCAGGGAGAAGGGAGCUGGAUGAUGGCUGGCGGUGGCUGCCUCCUUCACUCUCCUCCAGCAUCAGGUUCUGCCGCUCUGGUGCUGCGGUUCAACAGGGUGGGGUGGGGAGGGAAGGAGGAAGGAGUGGGGGGAGCUGAAAAAAAGAGAAGAAAAAAAAAAGAGAGAGAGAAAAGGCAGUCAUUUGGGGCCUGGGCAUGGUGGUGGUUUCACCGCUUCCGCUGCCUGAUCCACCUUUUCAGACACGCAUGAGGAGAUUUCUGAGAAAUGGCCCUGGGCCGGCCCCAAGCACUUCAGCAUAACUGUGCACACACGUGUGUGUGUGAGCACGCAGCCCUGCACACAUGCUUGCACGCUGGAAUCCUUCCCACGAGGCCGGGCUGCUCCCAGCACACACUCUCAUUGCACACCUACUUCCCUCCUUCCACAAAAGAGGUCUCUUUCAUUUCCCACGAGAGGAGGAGGUGGAAGAGAGGAAACUAGAAGGCUGCAAAUUGCUCAGCCUCAUAUCUCACCUCCUCUCCAUCAGGCUACAAGUAGGCAAGGCUGGACAAAUGUGCAUUUUACCUUGAGACAACUUUUCUGUCGCUUCGUAGAGUGAUUUUUUUUUGUUGUUUUGUUUGUUUGGUUUUUGUUUUUUGGGGGUUUUGUUGUUGUUGUUGUUGUUCUUUUCAGUGCUUUGCCUCUCAGAGAAACCUUAACACUGUUCUAACUCUACAGGGCUAAGCUGCUGUUUGGUUAUGAAGAGUGUGCCUUGUGCUGUGCUUGUAGCAUUUUCUUUCCCUAAGUUAUCCCCUCCUUGCUGCCAGCCAGCCCCAGGAGGCUUGUCUUCAUGCAUAUUGCCAAUUACCUUGUGCUAGAGCAAGGCUUUUCCAAACCCUUAGCAAAUCUGGUAUUUCAAAGGGAUAUUGCUGUCAAGCGCCCAGCUUGUCACAGAACUGUGAGCUGAAGCCAGUAAAGCAGCAGGUGGUACCCAGGUGUGUUAGGUUAAUCCUCAACUCUUUUAAGCCAGUUACUUUCUCUUGUGAGUAACUAGGACUAGCACAAGGGAGGCAGAGGGUGUAGCCUUCAUUGUUUCACGGUUGUUUAGUGCUUGUAGGCUCUCCCUUAUUUCUACAAGGUAGUUGGUAUUGCUUCUUUCAUGUCAUGCAUAAAGACAUUUAAGGCAGUGGCUAACGUCUUAUUCUUUGCAGAGCUGUGGCAAAGCAGCUUACAUCAGGUAGCCAGGGCUUCUGUGGCUGUGAGGUGGUGUUUCUGAGCCUGUUCAGAGCAUCCUGGUAUUGUGCUGUGGCUCACAUAGAGCAGAUGAUGUAGGAGGGAGUCUAGCUGGCACUCUUGUUUCUUUGCCUGAUACUGCAGUUAUAAAGAACUAGUAUCAAUCAGAAGCUCUGCCUGAAAGGCAAGUAGGCGUUGUCUCCAUUUUUAAUAGGGGAAAUCCUGUGCACAGAGAUUUCAGGACCUGGUGGCUGGAGUGCAGAACACAUGGAGAGAAAGCUCGCUUUUGCAGAACACUUCCCAAGGCAUCCAAGGACUCCUGCAAACCCACAAAGCUUGCCUCUAAACCACAGCUGCAACAAAAGAGGAAGACUCCACAGCAGAACUUGGAGCAUAUUAAACCUUUAAAAUAGGUCUCUUUUUGUGGUGGGGUGUAUUUGUAUAAAUACAUACAUAUGCGUACAUGAAGAGAAGAGCUGGGUUUGUUCAGCAUUGGAACUAAAAGUGAAAGCAGGCUGUAGGAACGCCAGCAAGGCAGUGAUGUCAGGCAGAGCUAUAGCAUUGACAGGGAUGGAUCACACAGUGGCAUGCAGCAAUGGCAUCACAAGGAGAAUGGCUGGUCUUCCCAGGCCCAAUAGACACUAAUGGAGCAGAAGUAAAGGAACAUGGCUGGUUUGUGAGCCACAAAGGUAAAUUCUGCAAGGGUGUAAAUGUGAGAGACAUUGGAAAGAGAGCUCCGAGAAAGAGGGUGCAGGUGAAAAGAUGCACAACUGGUGCAGAGAGCUUAGGCCAAAGAAGCACAGUCUUUGUGGGGUACUAAGGAAUAACACAGUGGGGGGGGAAAAAGUGAAAUGAGAUUUAAAAUGGGAGCAUCUGGUCCCAUGCUGGUCCCAUGUCAGUUCCUGCUGAUCCUCACGCAACAUAAUGUGGUUGCUGUUGAGUUCAGAGUUGUAUGGGCUCCCAUGAAGGCAGUGUGGUGCUCAAGGCUGGCUCUGGUGGGACUCCAUCUGAGGUGGCUGCAUUCCUGUGCAUUGAGUCUGGAGCUCACGGUUAACUCUUUAAAGGGUUCAGGACCCUUGCUGAGGAGGCAUGGGUCCCUUGUGGACAGCUUUGCUGGAGCUGGAAUGACACUGACCAAAGGAGUCUCACCACAGACAGAAAAUUAAAAGAGCCUGUGACUGAACAGUGUUGGUAAGAGAAUCUCCUUCACUGGACAAACCUGGUGUAUAUUUUGUGAACGUGCCUAUGGCAUGGUUUGCAGUCACAGCUGCAUUCUUUAGCUGCAGCAAUUGUCAGCUUUAUGCAUUCAUUCUUUAAUGCAUUGUUGCAAUGCUUUGUGAGGUGGUAAAUCCUACCUUAACAGAGUGAGCAGAGGCACUAUGCCACCUGGAUCAGAUGGCAUAGAGCUCAUUAUAGAUUUCUGGAAUCCAUAUUUCUGGAUAGAUUGCCUCCUGGAUCACUUUGGAAAGACAGAAGGAAAUGUACUGGAGAUCCCUGCUAGUAUUAUCUCAGUCCUUUUGAGUGCAAGGUCAGUAGAGGAAAAGUUGCUCCCUGCUAUGUACGGACUGCAGGCAGACAGGCUCUGCUGGGCAGGUCACAACCAUUGCUCCCUGGUCAGCCAGGCUAGGGGUGUGCCUGGAGCUCCCUAACCUCUUUUAGCCUGCACACCCGAUCCCAAGGAGUCAGGUCAGAGCUGCUGCAACCAUCAACAUGAAAGAACCAAAGGCUGGCUGAGUCCAAGGGUUACAGUAAGUAUUGUUUCCUUCCCUGAGAUUAUCUGCAUCUCACCUUCCAUUGGAGCAAAAUUCGCUUCCUGGUGUGAAAGUGGUGGAGAAAGAGAUUAAAGCGAGCAGAUAAUGCAGUGGGAAAGCAUUUCUUUGCAUCUUUCCUGGAUAGAAGCGCUGUCUCCGUUCCCAUCACUUGCAGGACCAGCUGUGGUUUCUGGCAAUGGCAGACACAGACAUUGCCCUCCAGGUUCCUUUCCCUUUCAUUACCCCUCUGGAGAAAAGGACUCUUGUUAAAAGCCAUGGAUGUAUCACUGGGAGCCAGCUCUAUUAUGCACCAGCCAGUGAAGCAAGAUAGGCAUACUCUCCCACAAUUUAGGGAUGCCCCUGCUGAUCUGUUACCAAUGGGAAUAUCUUUAGUCGGAUCAGAGGCUGCCCUUUUCCAUGUCCCAGUGGGACAACACCUGCCCACCAAAGGACAAAGAGGAAACCUGUUGCGAUGGGAAAAAAGACAGAGUUCUCCCCAGAGAGGCUGUUUAAUUAAGAGCAUCUUUCUGCUAGCCAGCUGGUUUGUUAGCAAAGCAUCUAACUAAGCUUCAUCUCUGUGCAAGAGAGAAAGUCUCUGUGAAGCAAAUGCCAUGAAUCCAGUUUUACUCUCUCCUAUAAACCAUAAGAAAUCUGGUGAAGUCAUUGUGGAAAAAAGCCUGUAGGAUAAACAGGCUCCAAAGGGUCAGAAGAAAGCUAUCUAUGGGCCAGGGGCUGCUCUGUGUCACACAGUCCAUUGGCCCUGUCCAGAGCUAGGGUGGAAGAGCUGAGGCAUGGCUGGAUGUGUUUGUGUACACUGGUUUUUGGAGUUUGGGGGAUUCUGGCAGAAGUGUAAAUGUGAGCAAAGCUUUAUAUCACUGGAUGCAGCACGUAACAAGAAGUUCACCUUCAGUUAGAAAGGAUAUUAAUAUGACCUUCCUUUUUUUUUUCCUUUAAAGUAAAAAAGGGGACAUUGUUUUGAGUUGUUAAACAGCUGCUGUGUUCCACCCCAGUAAUGGUUGCAAUUGAGUAGUGAAUAAUAUAACACUUAGAUAAACAACCGGUAAAAUAAUUUGGGAUCUUUCCUUAGGGGGCAAAGCAGGCAAGUUACUCUACAAAAAUAAAUCAUUAUUCGCUCUGCCUAGGAAAUGAAGUGUUCUCCCUUCCAUCACCAAGUGGCUGUCACGCAUCUCCUCCUUCCUUCUGUGCUGGAAGUGUUUGCAAUACUCUUACCACCUUCAGCUUCCGAGGAGUUUUCUAGUGACCAUCAGAGCAUGUGAAAGGAAGGCCAGCAGCUAACAGCAUAGGAGAUGGAGACAGCGUGGCUUCACAAUGGACUGGCUGUGUGCAGCACGGGGAGCACGCGGGCAGCACAGAGCAAUGACUAAUUCCUCUGAUGUGUCACUUUUGCCCUGCACGCAGCUGCAUGGAGGGGACAGGGAGGAGCCUCUAACCUGGAGAGAGGAGUGCUGUGCCCUUCCUCGAUGCCUAGCAGCACACACCACACGCCGAGCUUUGUUCCGACUUGCCCAGAAGUCUGCUGGGAUGAGCGAGUCAGCACUCGCAGGCAGCUGAUAGGGCAGGUUGUGUCUUUGAGAUGCCUGUUUCGCAGAGGGGAAACUGAGGCACGGAGUCGUGCACCUUUGCUCGUUAUCAGAAAGUGAGCGUGGGAGGAUCGCGGUGAGCCCUGGCGCCAGGAGGGCAGUGCUCUGUCUCCUGGGAUGCGUCGUCACCAGGAACGUGUUCCCUGUGCUGGAUCUGUGCUCAGCUGGAGAGCUGCAGUGUCACAGGAUGCCUGUGGGCACAGAGGUUACCUGAGUGAUGUGGGUCUGUCUGCUCCCUUCUCUUCUAACAGGUCAACUGUCAAAAUGGGGUACUUUUACUUGGGGCUACAAAAAGUGAGGGGGAAGGGGGAAAGAAAAAGAUUACAGAAAGAACUGAAUUACAGUAGGAGGUGGUAAAUGAAUGUAAAUUUUACAGUAAAAUCCUUUAGGAGUUUCCAGAGACACCCAAAAAUCCCUCCAGCAGUAUAACCUGCUACCAAAAUGCCACAGUGGGUAGGUGGGAGUGAAUGGAAGAUAAUCAUAAUCAAAACAGUCAACAUAAAUGUUCUUUUACUCUUGUGUCCCAAGCAAAGAAAUCUGCUGCAUCCUCUCUUGUGAUGGAGGGUGGGCACAAGGAGUCGAGCUCUAGAGGAAAACAAAGCAACUAAGGAAGACUUUGGUGAAGCACAGAAGUGUUUGGAAGAAACAAGUCCAUGCUCACACUCUACAUUGACAGGCUCAACUUCAAGUGAUUUAUGGAUGCCAUUGGCCCUCAUGAACCAGAGCCAGCUUUCCUGCAAGUAACUCCCUGCAGCUGAGGGUGCAGAACCAUAUGGGCGUGGGAGCAGGAUGUAGGCAGGCUGGUUUCCAAGUGGAGAUGUCGCACCACAAAAUCUCCUUCUGUGCCAUGCCAUUGUCAGUACUGCUUUGACCAUCUCAGUGGAGAAGUCAAGGAUGAAGUGCUCCACAGCGCCUGACUGUUUUCUUUUUCAGCCUGUAGGAAUCGGGUCUAUCCCAACACGGGGAUGGAGCACGGCCCAGUGCUGCCAGCAGAUAGCACAGACCCCAUGAGAUGCCUACAGAGAGGCAACAUCGAGGUGAAUCUUCAUCAAAGCCUGGGCUUGGGUGUGUGAUGUGCAACAAAAGCAAG